Molecule: long non-coding RNA, 1297 nt
Filed under: Homo sapiens (human)
Lineage: Eukaryota; Metazoa; Chordata; Mammalia; Primates; Hominidae
Description: HSALNT0322438
Source: RNAcentral
UUUUCUCAUUUCUAGUUCUCAAGAACAGCUGUAGAAUGUUCUGGGAAUGCAACAUUCUGAGAUAAGGAGGGCUGGCUGGAACAGCCUGAGCUCUGUUCUGGGACCCCGCUUUACUGAAAUAAGAUAACCUUCAAUGUUUUAGCCCAGCAAAUCUCAUUGCCCCACAGCAUAAAACCAAGGUUGAGAGGCUUUCUGGGGUCCCUCAGCUGAUACAAGUGGGGUAUGCAUGGAGGACACUCCAUCUAUCCUGGGCAAAUUUCUUGAGCCUUGCAGACUGGCUUACAAUGUGUCACGGGCUUCUGUUGUCUUGCUGCCUAUCUGUAAGUAGUAAAAAGUCUCUUCAUGCAGCUUGUUGUAUGCACAGGUGUUUUCUCUCACUGGACUCAGACAAGUUGGUGACCCGCACACAAUAAACCUGCUCCACAACAAGAGGAGAAGGAAUUCCAGAGCUCAAAAUGGAGAAAGGAACAGAGUAAGAACAAUGGCUUCAGGAGGAAAAUGCAAUGAUAGAAGCUUUGAAAGAAAGACAACUAGAAUUCAGGUCAUAGUAGAUGAUGAUACCUGCCUGUCUGACCUUUGAGGAAGGGGAAUUUCUGAAACCUAAGGCUUCCUUGUAUUGCUCAAUUCAGUGAGAAAGAAAUCACUAAUGAUAGCAGGGUUUUGCUCUGUCGCCCCCGCUGGAGCGCAGUGGCACAAACAGAGUACAUUGCUGUCUAUCUUCUGGACUCAAGUGAUCUUCCCUCCUCAGCCUUCUGAGUAGCUGGGACUACAGAUGCAGAUAGAAAUAUUAGUUUUAUGAGAAACUAUUUCUUAAAGGAUGAAACAUUCCACAAAAUAUAUUUUAUCACAGACUAUGGGUGGAUUCCACUGGGAGAAAAGAGGAUCUAAAUGCCAGGCUCACCCCUCACAUUCUAUUCAACUGCACAGGAUAGAAUGAUACAUCCCUCUCUCACAAGAGCUCCCUGGAAACUGCAGAGGAAUCACCAUCUUCAGCAAGCUUUAUCAAGAAUGCAUUCAUGAGAUUCCCACUUUAAACAUCCAGCCAAGCACUUUUAUGUCUGUCACAGAGGCUUUAAAGGAGAGGCUGGAGAGUUCUCAUUUUCAGCACCAUCUCAGCUGUCGGUAUUUCCCAAACCUGCACUGAUGUCUGAGAAUCCACAUCAAAACUUUUGCAUUUGUCCUCAAAGAAUGUCACAACUAUUAUUCUGAAAUGCUCAUUGCAUCUAUUUCUAGGGAUGGUAAUGAUGACUCUGUACGGACUAAGAUAGGAUUAAUAACAAUGCAGAGUUGAACUCAA